RNAcentral lists this ribosomal RNA (373 nucleotides) under uncultured bacterium. RNAcentral describes it as "bacterial SSU rRNA". It matches the Rfam family "Bacterial small subunit ribosomal RNA", at positions 431 to 793 of the family's 1533-position model. The record is from RNAcentral.
UACUUUCAGCAGUGAGGAAGGCGGAGUCGUUAAUAGCGGCCUCGUUUGACGUUAGCUGCAGAAGAAAGCACCGGCUAACUCCGUGCCAGCAGCCGCGGUAAUACGGAGGGUGCGAGCGUUAAUCGGAAUUACUGGGCGUAAAGCGCAUGCAGGUGGUUUGUUAAGUCAGAUGUGAAAGCCCGGGGCUCAACCUCGGAAUUGCAUUUGAAACUGGCAGACUAGAGUACUGUAGAGGGGGGUAGGAAUUUCAGGUGUAGCGGUGAAAAUGCGUAGAGAUCUGAAGGAAUACCGGUGGCGAAGGCGGCCCCCUGGACAGAUACUGACACUCAGAUGCGAAAGCGUGGGGAGCAAACAGGAUUAGAUACCCUGGUAG